Molecule: long non-coding RNA, 1225 nt
Organism: Harmonia axyridis
Lineage: Eukaryota; Metazoa; Arthropoda; Insecta; Coleoptera; Coccinellidae
Exons: 2
Source: RefSeq, a predicted model, not a curated record
AAAAUCACAUUGAAAUACUUUUGGUCAUUAACAGCUGCCCAAGAUCAAAGGCUCUCGCUGUGUCUUUCUUUCAUUCUACCUUUCGUACGUUCUAUCUGCUUGCUGUCAGCUUUUGUCCUGUUUUGCUGAAUGAUUGAAAUUAAUCAUUGUGGAGUUACAACCACUAUCAGCCCUGGUAACAGCUACCAUCAGCCCCGAACACUCAUGGCGAGGUUGAUUCAUAUUCUAUAUGUUUUUGGAUGCAUCUACGACAUCAAGACUGGUGAUAAGUAUUGAACAAUUUGAUAUAUCUCAAGAAUUCAGCUUAAACGAUUAACCAGUGAUUUCUUUUGUUGCUAUAAAUGAACUUUUAUAACUUUAUAAGCAAAAUAGUUGUACAUCAUAGUUAUUACAGCUCAUGAUAUUCAGCAUUAUAGUUCAAGCGCUGAUCUGAUUUGUUCUCACUGUUAUAUUUAAUUCUCAUUUCAAUUUUUUUGCCGAUAAUAUUUUUUGAAUUUUGUAUUGGUCAGUUGACACCACUUCAUUGUUAAGUUUCGAUUUCAAUACCAACCCGAACAUCCACCCAUUUCCAACUAGCUAGCCAGUGCUGCUCUAAAUAUAAAAGGAGAGGCACUUGAAACAAUUCUUUUGUAACAAGGGUUCUCUGUGAGAUUAAAUAUAAUGUAAUAAAUUUAAAUGUUACAAAAUGGCGCCGAACGUAAAAAAGAUUCAGUUGGCGGAGUUUUGUUCUCUUGAAAUUUGUUACUGAUUCAUUAUUUCGGAUUUAUUUCAUUUUUAGAAAGAUUGGAUGGCUGUUGCACUGAUUAUAUUUUUUUCCAACCAAUAUAAUUAAGAAUUAUAUUUAUUUCAAAUUCUGUUAACGCUGUUUCGGAAUGCAUCCAUUUCUUGCGAGUUUUUUCAUUCAGGUUUGUCGUAUUGCUUGAGCUAGCAUAUGGUGAUUGAUUUCAAUUUUUUUCGAUUGGUUUUUCAAUGUUAUUUGAUGCCUGAUGAUAUAGUACAAUUUACUAUUAUAUUUUUCACUUAUUUUACUUCACAAAAUUUGAUUAAUUUAGUUUCGAUUAUUGUUAGAUUUAUUUUAUCGUUGCCAUAAAAAUGUCACAAGAAUAUUGGGAACGUGAAUUAAAUCGAUUCAACUCGAGAGAAUUAUUUUAUGAAAUGCUUAGUAGAGGACUUAAAGUUAUCAGGAAAACUGAGAAAUAUUUUAAGGUUGGAAGGUCGUGGUGAA